This 1311-nucleotide long non-coding RNA is filed under the name Astyanax mexicanus (Mexican tetra). Its description in RNAcentral is "lncRNA (ENSAMXG00005011576.1)". The record is from RNAcentral. Lineage: Eukaryota; Metazoa; Chordata; Actinopteri; Characiformes; Acestrorhamphidae.
GGGUAAUUGGGCUGUAAGAAGUCCACACAAGUCACCUUCCAUGCGGUCCUCAAUAAUGUGGGAGGAGCAAGAACUCAUCUGUAUAUUUGUAGUGUACUUGGCUAACUUGGAUCUUGUAAACAGAACAGUACGUGGGCUGCAGCUGACAUUUCCCGAGUCCACAAGAAAACAAGUACACAUAAUGACCUAUGAAUCAUACUUUUUGGGUUAGGGUCAGUCUGGGGGUUUUCCUGAUUCUCUGUUUUGCAGAGAAUGCAGGCAGUGGGGGUACAGAGCCAUAAAGAGAGAGAGAGAGAGUCAUGUCAACUCUGUUUAUAGGACUUAUUUCUAUGAAGAAAUAUUGUAAAAAGCGCUAUACAAAUAAAUUUGAUCUGAAAACUUAAAUCUGAAAAUGUAAAUAAUGCUCAAUCAUUUUUACUAACCUCCUAUUUUAGUUUUCUUUAUUGUUUAUUUUUUAUAUUAUCCAUUCUAUUUUUAUUCUAUAUAAAUAAAAUAAACCUUUGGUUUUGCACGUCUUGUGGAGGAUGUUAAAGGGUAAAAAUUUAAUGUUUUGGUGAUAUCUUAAUUUUUACAUUGCAGUCAAUCAGCAAAAGUUGCUCUUGGCUUUGUUUUCAUGGAGGGAAUUCAUUGGCGGUAAGUGUGGCUGUCCAGAAUAUGUUCCUCCUGAACUGCAUUCUUUUAGAUGACUCAUACGUUUCACUGUUGUACAGUAAGAAAACAUAUGUUGGGUAUCUGCUUUCACAGUUUUGCGGUUCCUCCUAGAAACAGUAUUAUUUAAUCUGAGACCAAUGCUCUCUAUUCGUCAUAAGGGGGUGGGCGUGUUUUAUAUUCGAACAUUUUGAUGUGUCCCUGUUUGGCAUCGUUUUCCACAUUCUGUAUACUCUCUGAGCGCGAGGAUGCCCCGGAGCUGCCUUUAUCACGUGUUGUGGAUUUUUCCGAGCCUGUGGGCCACAGUUUUUCUACAUGAUGGACUAAAAAGUUUGUCACAGUGUGCUGGGCUGUUAAUGGAUGAGGAUAAGUACACAUGCUGUGGAGGGACCAUACACCAGGGAGCUCAUCUGUCCUGCUGUGGAAACUCUGCCUACAACAUCCUGAAGAGUUCCUGCUGCCUGAAUGAGUUAACGCUUGGCUUGAGCCAGUCUGUGUCCCGAUGUUGCGGAUCACAGGCCUACAACCCUCUGAAUCAGAUUUGCUGUGGGGGACGUGUCCAAAUCAGACACAGUGCUCAGACCAAAUGCUGUGGUUCAGGUAAGCGUAAACGCCUGUUCAUUUCAGAGGAAAUAUAUUUGGACAGUGAUAAAAUCUUUGGGC